RNAcentral lists this ribosomal RNA (253 nucleotides) under uncultured bacterium. RNAcentral describes it as "partial 16S ribosomal RNA". It matches the Rfam family "Bacterial small subunit ribosomal RNA", at positions 524 to 776 of the family's 1533-position model. The record is from RNAcentral.
UACAGAGGGGGCAAGCGUUGCUCGGAAUCACUGGGCGUAAAGCGACCGCAGGCGGCCUGACAAGUCGGAUGUGAAAGCCCUGGGCUCAACUCAGGAAUUGCAUUCGAAACUGGUAGGCUCGAGUACGGGAGAGGGGGGUGGAACUCCUGGUGUAGGGGUGAAAUUCGUUGAUAUCAGGAGGAACACCGGCGGCGAAGGCGGCCCCCUGGCCCGCAACUGACGCUCAUGGUCGAAAGCGUGGGGAGCAAACAGG